GGGGGGGGGGGGGGGGGGGGGGGGGGGGGGGGGGGGGGGCGGCGGGGCGGGCGUCGGGGUGGCGGCGGGUGGGGGACGGGGGCGUAAUGCGUCGGAACGUGCCCAGGAGUGGGGGAUAGCCCGGCGAAAGCCGGAGUAAUACCGCAUACGACCUGCGGGUGAGCGCGGGGGACCGAAAGGCCUCGCGCUAUUGGAUCGGCCGAUGUCGGAUUCGCUAGUGGGUGGGGUAAAGGCUUACCAAGGCGACGCUCCGUAGCUGGUCUGAGAGGACGACCAGCCACACUGGGACUGAGACACGGCCCAGACUCCUACGGGAGGCAGCAGUGGGGAAUUUUGGACAAUGGGGGCAACCCUGAUCCAGCCAUGCCGCGUGCGGGAAGAAGGCCUUCGGGUUGCAAACCGCUUUUGUUCGGGAAGAAAUCCUCUGGGCUAAUACCCCGGGGGGAUGACGGUACCGGAAGAAUAAGCACCGGCUAACUACGUG
RNAcentral lists this ribosomal RNA (484 nucleotides) under uncultured bacterium. Its description in RNAcentral is "partial 16S ribosomal RNA". It matches the Rfam family "Bacterial small subunit ribosomal RNA", at positions 38 to 507 of the family's 1533-position model. The record is from RNAcentral.